AACGCGAAGAACCUUACCUGGCCUUGACAUCUAUCGUGAAAGGUGAUGAAAGUCAUCGACGGCCCGAAAGGGUGCUGGGGAUAGACAGGUGCUGCAUGGUUGUCGUCAGCUCGUGUCGUGAGAUGUUGGCUUAAGUGCCGCAACGAGCGCAACCCCUGUGUUUAGUUACUCCGCAAGGAGGUCUCUAAACAGACUGCCUCGCUUCAACGAGGAGGAAGGUGGGGAUGACGUCAAGUCAGUAUGGCCCUUACGGCCAGGGCUGCACACGUACUACAAUGCCCGGUACAAAGGGAAGCAAGAGCGUAAGCUGGAGCAAAUCCCCUAAAACCGGGCCCAGUUCAGAUUGUCGUCUGCAACUCGACGGCAUGAAGCUGGAAUCGCUAGUAAUGGCGCAUCAGCUACGGCGCCGUGAAUACGUUCCCGGGCCUUGUACACACCGCUAGUC
RNAcentral lists this ribosomal RNA (445 nucleotides) under uncultured bacterium. Its description in RNAcentral is "bacterial SSU rRNA". It matches the Rfam family "Bacterial small subunit ribosomal RNA", at positions 958 to 1398 of the family's 1533-position model. The record is from RNAcentral.